Peromyscus leucopus (white-footed mouse) is the source of this 785-nucleotide long non-coding RNA. RefSeq lists it as uncharacterized. The transcript is spliced from 3 exons. Lineage: Eukaryota; Metazoa; Chordata; Mammalia; Rodentia; Cricetidae. The record is from RefSeq and is a predicted model, not a curated record.
UACAUAAUGAGUUCUAGGACAGCCAGAGCUACUAUAGGGAGACCCUGUCUCAAAAAACUAAAAGUUACCUUUCUGUUGCACUAAUUUUAUCAUAAUACUUUACAUUUUGGGUAAUAAUAGCAUGUUACUCAUAAUAGAAGUUCAUACCACAUGUACUGCAGUUUGGUCACACUCACCAAUCAUGAACCUCUCUUCUCUGUUCCACUCCACACAGCAGUUUCCCAGCUGGUUUUCCCCCAACACACAUUUCUAUGUCUGUCUUUUCUGACCCACUGAGAUUCAUUCAGCUUCCUUACAGGAAAUUGGAUGAGGGCUCCUGAAACCCCUGCUGAGGAUCAGGAGACAUAUCAUCACUCUGGUGCCUACAAUAGACAGAGAUGCUUCCAGGGGCCGUGCCAAUCUGAUGCCUCUUGCCAGCUGGUCCAGGAUUAAGUCUUAAUGCCAGAAGCAUGUAAUCCAUAGCCUGUUAUAUAUUCUAUUAUCUCUCUUAUAUGCAGAAACUUUAAAAACCAAACACCACUAUUGUAAUUUGCACAUAAACACUGCAGACUGGUCUCAUUGCAUCUCAGCUGGGCACAGCAGGGGAGCCCUGCAAGACUCUCAGCUGGGAGGGAAACUUGGAGCCAGAACUGCUGAAGGAAAGCUGAGAUGGAGCUGAUCCCCAGCCUUUCCAUGGAAACCUGGGUGCUGCUGGCUACCAGCCUGGUGCUCAUCUACAUGUAUGGGACCUAUUCUAAUGGGAUUUUUAAGAAGCUCGGCAUUCCUGGACCCAAACCUCUGCCUUU